Molecule: ribosomal RNA, 369 nt
Filed under: uncultured bacterium
Lineage: Bacteria
Description: bacterial SSU rRNA
Rfam family: Bacterial small subunit ribosomal RNA
Source: RNAcentral
AGAGGGUGCGAGCGUUAAUCGGAAUUACUGGGCGUAAAGGGCGCGUAGGCGGUAGCAUGUGUGUGAUGUGAAAGCCCCGGGCUUAACCUGGGAAGAGCAUCGCAAACUAUGAAACUGGAGUAUAUGAGAGGGUGGCGGAAUUUCCGGUGUAGCGGUGAAAUGCGUAGAGAUCGGAAGGAACGUCGAUGGCGAAGGCAGCCACCUGGCAUAAUACUGACGCUGAGGCGCGAAAGCGUGGGGAGCGAACAGGAUUAGAUACCCUGGUAGUCCACGCUGUAAACGAUGAGGACUAGAUGUUGUUAGGGGAACCUAUCAGUAUCGAAGCUAACGCGAUAAGUCUUCCGCCUGGGAAGUACGGCCGCAAGGUUG